This 418-nucleotide long non-coding RNA is filed under the name Mytilus galloprovincialis (Mediterranean mussel). Lineage: Eukaryota; Metazoa; Mollusca; Bivalvia; Mytilida; Mytilidae. The record is from RNAcentral.
GUUGUUGCAAUGCAUAGAAUACCAGGGAAAGAAGGGAAUCCAAGACCAGUUCUUAUUAAAUUUUUUAAGAAUGGAUACCAAAAUUUCACUUCUGCGUAAAAAGAAGGCUAUAAACGAAGCACUCAAAGUUAGAAUUGGUGAUGAUAUAACAAAACUCAACCAGGGUCUCCUAAAUAGAUUGUACCAACAUGACAAUGUUAUCAGUUCAUGGUAUUUUAAUGGUCAUGUAUAUGGAUCAGACGAGGAAGGAACUAGACAUCGGUUUGAAAUAUUUGACGACAUAAACAAAAAACUGAAAAAAUAAAAUGUGUGUAUAAAAUCACUUGAACAUGCUUUUCAAAUUUGUUUGAUAUUGUCAAGUACCAUAUGUAUUUUUAUAUAAUUCCUGUUCAUCUAUAAUUAUUUUGUUGUCUACAAC